GCAUCAAGGAACAGCACAAAGUCUCAGUCCGCAUUCCUCCCGACAGUGAGAAGAGCAACUUGAUCCGGAUUGAGGGAGACCCUCAAGGGGUUCAGCUGGCUCGUAAGGAACUCCUGGAAAUGGCAGCCCGGAUGGAAAAUGAACGCACCAAGGACCUGAUCAUUGAACAGCGCUUUCACCGGACAAUCAUUGGGCAGAAAGGCGAGAAAAUUAAAGAAGUCCGGGACAAAUUUCCAGAACUCCUCUUUCUUCUGGGACGCUGGAGACGUGUCAGGUGGCAACAACCAAAGUCACUCAUGAAAAGCUUGUCAUCCAUUUAUUGACUUUUACCUGUAUUACAAGAAUCUCCUGAGGCUGCUUGCCUUCUCUGGGAACACCCCAAUAAGGUUUCAUGGAUCUUGGGAAGAGGGACAGUCAGGCUUAUGCCUUUUGCAAUUACACAGGGAAUCAGGGCUAGUUCCCCACUUGAGCCCCUCCUUCCAGCCAGGCUGGCAGUUUCCCAACAAGAGGGCGUGCAUGCAAGUCUCAUUUUAUUCUCAUAGCAAUAGCCCUCUGCGAUUACUAUGGAGAGCCAGCCCUCUAUAGCUGCAAAGAGCCAUGAACUUACUUUAAUACUGAGAUUAAAUUUUUCUGGUUAGCACUGAACACUCUAUAUACUCAAAACACUAGACUGAAACUGAACAACUUUGUCCUCUUUACAGCUUUGUUGUAUCACAGUCUUUGCAGAUACUGUUAGACAAAGAUCAGUAUUGCUUGACAUUCUAAGAAAUUAGUUUAUGUUUAAUGCAGAAUGUAUUGAAUCUCUGCCUUUUAAAAAGAAAAGUACACCCUUUUCAGAAAAGUGUUGAAGGUCCAACUAUUUUGUCGGGCCUUUUAACUGCUAAAUAGUCUUGGCACACAUUUUAAUUUAACUUGUCAACUUUUACAU
Notechis scutatus (mainland tiger snake) is the source of this 928-nucleotide non-coding RNA. The record is from RefSeq and is a predicted model, not a curated record. Lineage: Eukaryota; Metazoa; Chordata; Lepidosauria; Squamata; Elapidae.